This 380-nucleotide ribosomal RNA is filed under the name uncultured bacterium. RNAcentral's name for it is "bacterial SSU rRNA". It matches the Rfam family "Bacterial small subunit ribosomal RNA", at positions 1 to 407 of the family's 1533-position model. The record is from RNAcentral.
UAGUGAGUUUGAUCCUGGCUCAGGAUGAACGCUGGCGGUAUGCUUAACACAUGCAAGUCGAACGGUACUCUUUCGGGGGUAUAGUGGCGGACGGGUGAGUAACGCGUGAGAAACUAGUGAUAGAUUGGGGACAACAGUUGGAAACGACUGCUAAUACCGAAUGUGCCCUUCGGGGGAAAGAUUUAUCGCCUUUAGAGCGGCCCGCGUCUGAUUAGCUAGUUGGAGAGGUAAAGGCUCACCAAGGCAUCGAUCAGUAGCUGGUCUGAGAGGAUGAUCAGCCACACUGGGACUGAGACCACGGCCCAGACUCCGUACGGGAGGCAGCAGUGGGGAAUAUUGGACAAUGGGCGAAAGCCUGAUCCAGCAAUGCCGCGUGAGUG